GGACUACUCGGGUAUCUAAUCCCGUUCGCUCCCCUGGCUUUCGCUCUUGAGCGUCAGAGACUUCCCAGGACACUGCCUUCGCCUUUGGUGUUCCUCCGGAUAUCUACGCAUUUCACCACUACACCCGGAAUUCCGUGUCCCUCUGAAGCCCUCAAGUCCAGCAGUUUUCAAAGCCCUUUCUCGGUUAAGCCGAAAACUGUCACUUCGAACUGGCUGGACCGCCUGCGAGCGCUUUACGCCCAGUAACUCCGGACAACGCUUGCCCCCUACGUAUUACCGCGGCUGCUGGCAC
Molecule: ribosomal RNA, 292 nt
Filed under: uncultured bacterium
Lineage: Bacteria
Description: partial 16S ribosomal RNA
Source: RNAcentral